Molecule: transfer RNA, 73 nt
Filed under: Dipodomys ordii (Ord's kangaroo rat)
Lineage: Eukaryota; Metazoa; Chordata; Mammalia; Rodentia; Heteromyidae
Rfam family: tRNA
About the family: Transfer RNA (tRNA) molecules are approximately 80 nucleotides in length. Their secondary structure includes four short double-helical elements and three loops (D, anti-codon, and T loops).
Source: Rfam by way of RNAcentral
GGAGGUAUAGCUCUGUAGUUGAGCACCUGCCUACUAAGUGUGAGGCUCUGAGUUCAAAACUUCAGUACUUCCA